GGGGAUUUAGCUCAGUGGUAGAGUGUGCAAGUGCAAGGCCCUGGGUUCGAUCCCCAGCUCCA
Molecule: transfer RNA, 62 nt
Filed under: Rattus norvegicus (Norway rat)
Lineage: Eukaryota; Metazoa; Chordata; Mammalia; Rodentia; Muridae
Rfam family: tRNA
About the family: Transfer RNA (tRNA) molecules are approximately 80 nucleotides in length. Their secondary structure includes four short double-helical elements and three loops (D, anti-codon, and T loops).
Source: Rfam by way of RNAcentral